GCCAGGUGUGGUGGUGUGCGCCUGUAAUCCUAGCUACUCAGGAGGCUGAGGCAGGAGAAUCACUUGAACCCAGGAGGUGGAGGUUGCAGUGAGUCGAGAUCAUGCCAUUGCACUCCAGCCUGGGUGACAGAGUGAGACUCUGUCUCAA
Molecule: non-coding RNA, 148 nt
Filed under: Chlorocebus sabaeus (green monkey)
Lineage: Eukaryota; Metazoa; Chordata; Mammalia; Primates; Cercopithecidae
Source: Rfam by way of RNAcentral